Molecule: ribosomal RNA, 512 nt
Filed under: uncultured Anaerostipes sp.
Lineage: Bacteria; Bacillati; Bacillota; Clostridia; Lachnospirales; Lachnospiraceae
Description: partial 16S ribosomal RNA
Source: RNAcentral
CACGUAGUUAGCCGGGGCUUCUUAGUCAGGUACCGUCAUUAUCUUCCCUGCUGAUAGAGCUUUACAUACCGAAAUACUUCUUCACUCACGCGGCGUCGCUGCAUCAGGGUUCCCCCCAUUGUGCAAUAUUCCCCACUGUUGCCUCCCGUAGGAGUCUGGGCCGUGUCUCAGUCCCAAUGUGGCCGUUCACUCUCUCAAGCCGGCUACUGAUCGUCGCCUUGGUAAGCCGUUACCUUACCAACCAGCUAAUCAGACGCGGGUCCAUCCCAUAGCGAUAAAUCUUUCAAAACAGGACCAUGCGGUCCCGCUUUCCCAUGCGGUAUUAGCAGCCGUUUCCAGCUGUUCGUCCCCCUCUAGUGGGGCAGGUUACCCACGCGUUACUCCACCCGUCCGCCACUCAGUCACUCCCAUAUGCUUCCCUUCCCCAGCAAGCUGGUUCUGUCUGGGCGGGUGGGUAUGUCUUUCGUUCGACUUGCUAGUGUGUUAGGCCACCGCCCGCCAGGCUUUCACUU